RNAcentral lists this ribosomal RNA (256 nucleotides) under uncultured bacterium. RNAcentral describes it as "partial 16S ribosomal RNA". It matches the Rfam family "Bacterial small subunit ribosomal RNA", at positions 99 to 353 of the family's 1533-position model. The record is from RNAcentral.
CGGACGGGUGCGUAACGCGUAUGCAACCUGCCUGACACAGGGGGAUAAUCCGAAGAAAUUUGGUCUAAUACCCCAUAAUACCGAUAUAGGCAUCUAUGUUGGUUGAAAGCUUUGGUGGUGUCAGAUGGGCAUGCGUUGUAUUAGCUAGUUGGUGAGGUAACGGCUCACCAAGGCGACGAUACAUAGGGGGACUGAGAGGUUAACCCCCCACCACUGGUACUGAGACACGGACCAGACUCCUACGGGAGGCAGCAUG